UCCCUUAAGUCAUCAUUCUUAUAACGAUAUAUUUCAAAACAUUGUUAACCAUAUCAUUCACCGCUAUUUCCCCCCAUGGUUAUUGUUGCAUCGUAAAUAUGAAUGGUGUGUUCACCUACUUGGUCCUUUCGGGUGUGGCAAUUGUAGUUGUCAUGCUAAGCUGGCUAGCCGUGUGAUAAGAUGAUCAAUUGCUUGCUUGAUUCGUUGUUUACUCAAUCGAUAAAAU
RNAcentral lists this long non-coding RNA (226 nucleotides) under Medicago truncatula (barrel medic). RNAcentral describes it as "long non-coding RNA (MTRU_LNC002024)". The record is from RNAcentral. Lineage: Eukaryota; Viridiplantae; Streptophyta; Magnoliopsida; Fabales; Fabaceae.